GAUGAACGCUGGCGGCGUGCCUAAUACAUGCAAGUCGAGCGAACAGACGAGGAGCUUGCUCCUCUGAUGUUAGCGGCGGACGGGUGAGUAACACGUGGAUAACCUACCUAUAAGACUGGGAUAACUUCGGGAAACCGGAGCUAAUACCGGAUAACAUGUUGAACCGCAUGGUUCAACAGUGAAAGACGGUCUUGCUGUCACUUAUAGAUGGAUCCGCGCCGCAUUAGCUAGUUGGUAAGGUAACGGCUUACCAAGGCAACGAUGCGUAGCCGACCUGAGAGGGUGAUCAGCCACACUGGAACUGAGACACGGUCCAGACUCCUACGGGAGGCAGCAGUAGGGAAUCUUCCGCAAUGGGCGAAAGCCUGACGGAGCAACGCCGCGUGAGUGAAGAAGGUCUUCGGAUCGUAAAACUCUGUUAUUAGGGAAGAAAAAAUGUGUAAGUAACUAUGCACGUCUUGACGGUACCUAAACAGAAAGCCACGGCUAACUACGUG
Molecule: ribosomal RNA, 497 nt
Filed under: uncultured bacterium
Lineage: Bacteria
Description: partial 16S ribosomal RNA
Rfam family: Bacterial small subunit ribosomal RNA
Source: RNAcentral